GGGGUUGUGGCUCAGCGGUAGAGUGCUUGCCUACCAUGCGUGAGGCCCUGGGUUCAAUCCCCAGCACCA
This 69-nucleotide transfer RNA is filed under the name Urocitellus parryii (Arctic ground squirrel). RNAcentral describes it as "Spermophilus parryii (Arctic ground squirrel) tRNA". It matches the Rfam family "tRNA". Rfam says of the family: Transfer RNA (tRNA) molecules are approximately 80 nucleotides in length. Their secondary structure includes four short double-helical elements and three loops (D, anti-codon, and T loops). Further hydrogen bonds mediate the characteristic L-shaped molecular structure. tRNAs have two regions of fundamental functional importance: the anti-codon, which is responsible for specific mRNA codon recognition, and the 3' end, to which the tRNAs corresponding amino acid is attached (by aminoacyl-tRNA synthetases). tRNAs cope with the degeneracy of the genetic code in two manners: having more than one tRNA (with a specific anti-codon) for a particular amino acid; and 'wobble' base-pairing, i.e. permitting non-standard base-pairing at the 3rd anti-codon position. The record is from Rfam by way of RNAcentral. RNAcentral also lists the same sequence under 1 other name. Lineage: Eukaryota; Metazoa; Chordata; Mammalia; Rodentia; Sciuridae.